This 43454-nucleotide long non-coding RNA is filed under the name Podarcis lilfordi (Lilford's wall lizard). Lineage: Eukaryota; Metazoa; Chordata; Lepidosauria; Squamata; Lacertidae. The record is from RNAcentral.
GGCGAGGCGAAGGCAAGGCCAGGCCUAGUCUCAAUUUCCUCACAUAGGCCAACUUCUGGGACUCAGGAAGCCCAGCGCCGGGUCCCAAACCACCUCUCAGGGGGUAGGGCAGUAAUUGUUCUUGAUAAUUUUGUUGCCCACCCCCCUCCGCGAUGACACCUGGGGCAGACCGCCCCCCCCCAUUCGCCCCUGAAGGCAGACUGGAUUCUCCGGAUAUUUCCCCCUUUUCUUCCCCAUGAAACAACAAUCACACCACCUUGCAAACGGUAAAAAAACAAGAUUUACUCGCUCGGAAUACUGGUUGAAGAGUAACGGGUGCAGCAGCUUUAAGGCAGACUUAAAAUGGUGAUUCAGUUACCAAGACUUACCUUUAAUACAGUUUUUGGUUUGUUUGUUUUUUAAUUAUUAGAUUUUCCACCUUAAAAUGGGGUCUGAGGAUUGGCAUGCAGAUUGUUCUUCACAUUUCUGGUUCGGUGAUCCGAUGAAGAAGAGGAAGAGAAGAAAUGGGGUGGGAUGUGCCCAGGCAGGUAAGAGAAUAUAUCUGUUUCUCUCACAGAGUUCUCUCUAGCAAAUUUACAAGGAAACUCCUAUCAUGUGCCUAUCGAGCAAAACACGAAUCGUUGGUUUGUCUGCAUUGUAAAUAUCCCACAAUAUCUAGAUGCCUCUGGGAAAAUUAAGAUUGUGAGCGACUGGGUUCUUUGCAGUACCCCCAGCUGCUUUGGGGGCGAAAGAAAAGAUUUUUUAAAUAAUUAAAAGGGAUGAUCUUGGGUUGGCACAAAAGACCCAGGAUUUAGCCUUUCUGGGCCCUUACGGUUGCCCCCUCUCUUAAGACAAUUUCCUUUCUAAAGCUUAGGGAAAGCCUAUCUCUGGCUGGCUUGGGAACUAUCAAAUUGUAUGUGGGAACUAUGGUAGAUCGCAUCUAUUGCGUAUAAUCCAUUUCACUAAUAAAUAAUACAGAGCUCCACAUGGUUCUCCAGAAUGAAUUAUGCUGUAGUAUCAGAAGCUAUUUCCCCAAAGGUCAUUUAACAAACUGUUGAAAUAAGCAUCUGCAGCCGAGUGGAUGAAUUUCAUGCAAUUUGCAAUUGCACAAAUACGAAUUAGAGUUGUUUGUCAAAGGGACUGGCUAUUCAGAAACGGGCUAUUCAGAAACGAUUUGUGAAUCUGAAAAGCAGGGAUUGCUUUUGGUCUAAGUUAAGGAAAUCAUUGAAAACCAGCGGCCACCUCUUGCAGGAUCUGCGCAUAGGGAAAUGCAUAGAGCAUGAUCUGGUUCACAUGAAGCACUUUUAAAUCUCACCGAUUUCCAUGGGGGAGAGGGACUGCAAGUGCUUCAUCUUGACCACGCAAUAGUUUUCUGCACCAGAUUUCCUUUCCAGGGACAGUCCUGGAUUUAAAGAAGCCGCCCUAGUUUCUUAGCCAGUGUGGUGUAGUGGUUAAGAGCGGUAGUCUCGUAAUCUGGGGAACCGGAUUCGCUUCCCCGCUCCUCCACAUGCAGCUGCUGGGUGACCUUGGGCCAGUCACACUUCUCUGAAGUCUCUCAGCCUCACUCACCUCACAGAGUGUUUGUUGUGGGGGAGGAAGGGAAAGGAGAAUGUUAGCCGCUUUGAGACUCCUUAAGGGGAGUGAAAGGCGGGAUAUCAAAUCCAAACUCUUCUUCUUCUUCUUACUUGAUCCUAGACUUUUCCACAGGACGUUCCUAUUUUCAUCUGAGAAAUGUUGGAGAGUAUGGAGUUAUCCGACCCCCUGAGCCAUCUAAUGGCAGCCCUCUAUACAGAAAUUUGUUAAUGGUCAAUGUUUUAUUAUGCUUUUAUGUAUGUUGGAAGCUGCCCAGAGUGGCUGGGGCAACCCAGUCAAAUGAGUGGGGUAUAAACAGUAAAAUUAUUAUUAUUAAAUUAAAUAGGGCAUCCCUAUUUUCAUUGGAGGAGUGUUGGAGGGUAUGGGUUUCUUUGGGAGUACUCAAACAAAUAAAAGGUAAAGGACGUGGGUGGCCCUGUGGUCUAAACCACUGAGCCUCUUGGACUUGCUGAUCAGAAGGUCAGCGGUUUGAAUCCCCCAAAGGAGGGAGCUCCUGUUGCUCUGUCCCAGCUCCUGCCAACCUAGCAGUUCAAAAGCACACCAGUGCAAGUAAAUAAAUAGGCGUCGCUGUAGCGGGAAGGUAAACAGCGUUUUCACUCCCUCUGGCUUCUGUCACGGUGUCCCGUUGCGCUAGAAGUGGUUUAGUCAUGCUGGCCACAUAACCCAGAAAGCUGUCUGUGGACAAACGCUGGCUCCCUUGGCCUGAAAGCGAGAUGAAUGCUGCAACCCCAUAGUUGCCUUUGACUGGACUUAACUGUUCAGGUGUUCUUUACUCCCCCCCCCCUUACUCAAACAAAUCAGAUUUUUCUAGUGCUUCCUUUGCUUUACAACGUAGUUUUUGCAUAUAGAAAUAUAUAUCUUCUUCUUUGGCUAUCACUCGUAGCCGAGUAAGAUUGUCUUCCAUAAACAUGGUUUUAACAGUGAGUCCGUAAGUGACUGUGGAGGCCAAUUCUGGAUCCACACGUCCUUCCACAGUGGGGACAUUAGUUUCCAGGCGGGAGUUGAUCAUGGUGUGGAUUUGCCAAGCGUGCCUUCCUCUUAGCAAGUUUCUCCCUUGCGUCCUGAGUUUGAGUGUCUUCAAAGCCCAUGACACCUUUGGUAAAGGCUGUUCUCCAACUGGAGCGCUCGCAGGCCAGUGUUUCCCAGUUGUCAGUGUUUAUAUUACAUUUUUUUAGAAUUGCCUUGAGAGAGUCUUUAAACCUCUUUUGUUGACCACCAGCAUUACACUUUCCAUUUUUAAGUUUGGAAUAGAGUAGUUGCUUUGGAAGAUGAUAAUCAGGCAUCCGCACAAUACAGUGGUGCCCCGCAAGACGAAUGCCUCGCUAGACGAAAAACUCGCUAGACGAAAGAGUUUUGCGGUUUUUGAGCUGCUUCGCAAGACAAAUUUCCCUAUGGGCUUGCUUCGCAAGACGAAAACGUCUUGCGGUUUUUGCAAGUUUGUUUCCUUUUUCUUAACACCGUUAAUACAGUUGCGACUUGACUUCAAGGAACAACUCAUAGAACGCGGUGUGGUAGCCUUUUUGAGGUUUUUGGUGAUUUUUGAAGCUUUCCAAAACUUUUCCGACACCGUGCUUCGCAAGACAAAAAAUUCGCUAGACGAAAAAACUCGCAGAACGAAUUAAUUUCGUCUUGCGAGGCACCACUGUAUGACCAGUCCAACGAAGUUGAUGUUGAAGAAUCAUUGCUUCAACACUGGUGAUCUUUGCUUCUUCCAAUACACUGAUAUUAGUUUGCCUGUCUUCCCAAGUGAUGUGUAAAGUUUUUCGGAGACACUGUUGAUGGAAUCUUUCAAGGAGUUGGAGAUGAUGUUUAUGGUUCAUGUUUCACAAGCAUAUAGUACAGUGAUACCUCAGGUUAAGUACUUAAUUCGUUCCGGAGGUCCGUACUUAACCUGAAACUGUUCUUAACCUGAAGCACCACUUUAGCUAAUGGGGCCUCCUGCUGCUGCUGCCGCGCCGCUGGAGCAUGAUUUCUGUUCUCAUCCUAAAGCAAAGUUCUUAAUCUGAAGCACUAUUUCUGGGUUAGUGGAGUCUGUAACCUGAAGCGUAUAUAACCUGAAGCGUAUGUAACAUGAGGUACCACUGUAUACCCUGAGGUGCACAUAUAGAAAUAUCUAUAUAUACCCUGAGGAAAUUUGCCUUUUUGGUGUAGGGAUCAAAAAAUCGUCAAGAACCAAAAAAUGCCACCGGCCUCUUUAUGUAACAGAAGGUGCAUUGUCACAGAAAUGACAUCUGUAGUGUAUCAAAUUCCAAGCCACUGCCCUAAUGUGUCAUUAACAUUCAGAUGCCUGCAUUGUGUAGUCUUUUAGAAACGGGGGCGAGGGGGGCUGAAACGAUCCAAUCUUUAAGGCUACAUUUGGAGCACAGUGCUCUGUAAUAACUUGUGCUUUUCAAAACCCCUUUCCCCACUCAGUCAAAAGAGGGUGGUGAAGGCUGUUGUUUGAGCCACAGCUGCUCUGAUAUUUUGAGAAAAAUGAAAAGUGCCAUUAUGGUUAAAAUGCUGUGAGAUCAGCAUUCUUUUUCCCCCAUGCACACACUCACAUCCCCAUUGCACAUUUCAGGUUUUUUUAUAUAUAAGGUCUGCUCUGUUUUCCUGGCUAGUAAUGAUAUAGGAUUGCCAGGUGACUCAAAUUUUAAUGGGUUUUCUUUCCUCGUGUUUACUCCUCACUUGGUUUAGGUUUAAGUUACAGGGAAAACAUUCAAAACAAUGGAAAUUAAAAUAAAACAAUGGAAAUUAAAAUAAUUUUCAGGAACACAACAGUUCCUGGUUGUUACACUGCUUUUUGCUUUGCUCACAGCAACUAGCCUUAUGGUACAGAAGGCAAAAUGAGGUAUAAAUUUGAGAAUAAGGACUAAGAAAUAAGGAGCAUUCAACUAUGCAUGUGUGUGUGUGUAUGCGCAUGGUGUUUGGGUGGUUUGUCGCAGCCUUUUCUGUUCUGCUGCCAACCAGAUGCUUUUGAUUCCAACUCCCAGCAACCCCAGUCACUAUGGUCAUGAUGGGAGUUGAUUUCCAAACAGCUGGAUGGCACCAAACUAGGAAGGCAGGGAGAGGUGGAUUUUCCCAUUGAUCAAGUGAAAUCGCGUACCCAAAAUCUUGCCCCCACCUUAUCAUAACUUCUUUAAUCUGUUCUUCUUUAAGUUCCCAUUCAAGUAAUAAAUUAUAAUUUUUUGACAAAUUAAUUUGGAAUUAUUUAAAAGUUCUAGCUUGAGUUUUGAUUCUUUAUGAAAUCCAAUUUUAUUAUCGGAAUUAAAUUUAUCAUAUAGUUGAUGAUAUUGUAACUGUAAUAAAUGUAAGGGUUGCUCGUGCGCAAGUUGGUGCCACUCCUGGCUAGGUUGCCUUGUUAAACCUUUUCUGUCUGGACAGCCCUGCACUUCGUGGCUGUUCAGUCGCUAGCAGAAUCCGUCAGUGGGCGUUUCUUAAACCUUUUCCAGCAUAAAAGUUGUUUGACUCCAAGUCUCCUCCUACUCUCCCUGCGCGGAAGCCUUCUGCGCAGGGAGGGCGUGGGUAGCGGAGGACCCGUGCUCUCCUCGCUGAUCUCCGGCGAGGAGUCCUGGAGCCCCCCUCGCAGAUUCCCCCAUCUGCCCCCCUUUAUCCCUGGUGUUACGCUGAUUUCUUUCCCCAGCUGGUGAGCCGCCUCUCCCCCUGCUGGGCCCUUCUCCAGCAUCGCUUGAGAGCCUAGCCUCCGCCUCUGGCUCCGAUGUCAGUUCCCUGACAUCCACCUCCCCCCCAGGACCCCCUUCACCCCCGGCCCGACCUUUUGAUCCAACUUCGUCCCUUUCCUCGGCCGACGAUGCGGGGAAUCCCCGGAAGGAGCUGUCGCCAUCCUCUGAGGAUUCAAAACCCGCUUACCACCCGCUCCGAUCUCUCCCGCGGGGUGGGCCUCCCAGUCUGAUUCUUCUUCCUCCGAAGCCUCUCCUCCCUCCUCUUCGGAGGCAGAAAAACCCACAAAAUCCUCUUCAUCGUCUGUGGUUCCAAAUUGCUCCUCCCAGAAUCUCGCUAGUGGCUUGGGUUUGUCCGGGAACAGGCUGUGGAAUUCCUCCACAAGAUACCCGUCAUUGAUUGCCUCCGCGGGAACCCACGUGUUUUCCGACCCGGGUUCUCCCUCCCAAGCUACCAGGUACUCCACCUGGCGCCCUCGCCACCUUGAAUCGAGUAUUUCCGUGGCCCGGUUGUGGUGUUCCCUCUCCUCUAUCUGCGGGUGUGUGGUGACUUCGCCUUCCCGCCCCGGGACUCCCCGCCCCUCCCUGUACGGUGAGAGUAGGGACCUAUGGAACACCGGGUGUAUCUUCAUGCUGUCCGGCAACUUGAGCUUGAAUGCCACGGGGUUCACCUGCUGUGUUACCUCAAACGGCCCCAGCCGCCUUGGCUGCAACUUCUUGCACCCCCCCUUAAAGGGUAACCCUUGGGUUGACAACCACACCCGGUCCCCCACCCGUAUGGUCUCCCCUUCCCUACGGUGCUUGUCUGCCUGCCUCUUGUAAAUUUCCUUGGCCCGUUCUAAGUUCAUCUUAAGUUGCUGGUGCAGAGCCUCCAUUUCUUCCACAAACUGCUCUGCCGCAGGUACGCUCCACCCUUCCUCCCCACUCCCCGGGAAGGCCCUGGGGUGACACCCAUAAUUGGCCAUGAACGGGCUCAUUCCCGUGGACACAUGUUCAGCGUUAUUGUACGCAAAUUCAGCCAGCGCUAGUUUCUCUACCCAAUCGUUCUGCCUCUCGCUGACGUAGCAGCGUAGGUAUUGCUGGAGUACACUGUUCGCUCUUUCUGCUUGCCCGUUGGUUUCCGGAUGUCUCGCCGUCGAGAAGCUCACCUCUACCUGCAGCAAGCUCAUGAGCUUCCUCCAGAACCGGGAAGUAAAUUGUUUCCCGCGAUCCGAAAUUACUCUCGAGGGAGCCCCAUGCAACCUGAAGAUGUGAUCCACAAACAACUUGGCUGUCUCCUCUGCGGUCACCGCAUGUGAACAAGCUAUGAAAUGGCACAUCUUUGUCAAUAGAUCGACUACUACCAUGACUGCUGUCUUCCCCCGGGACUUGGGCAAAUCGGUCAUAAAAUCAAUGGACACCACCUCCCAGGGUCUUCCCGGCGUGGGUAAGGGUUCCAGUAACCCUGCGGGGGCAGCCCUUUCCCCCUUUGCCCUUUGGCAGCGGUCGCACCCCCGUACAUAUUCCCGUACAUCCUCCCUCACCCUUGGCCACCAGAACUGCCUGGUGACGAGCAUCAUGGUUUUGUGCUGUCCAAAGUGCCCAGCUGUGGGGCUGUCGUGGAGUUGUUUGAGUACCUUUCCCCUCAGGGUCUCCCCCGGUACAUACAGCGCCCCCUUAUAGUACAGCACCCCUUCCUUUUCCUCAAAACCCCCUUGGUUUUCUCUUCCAUCUCGGAGUUCCCGGAUUUUAGUUUGAGCGAACACGUCGUUUCUAGUAAGCCCGGCCAGUUCUCGUUUCCCAACCAAGGCUCCCCACACACCCAUCGGUCCUCGGGGAUCACGUGUCGUAUCUCCGGCGGUCCCUCUCCUUCCAUGUACUCCGGCUUCCGGGAGAGAGCAUCUGCUCUUACGUUUUCCUCUCCUGGCACGUAUCGGAUUUCGAAGGAAAACUUGGAGAACUCCUGUGCCCAUCGAAUCUGUCUCUGGUUGAGUACUCUUGCGGUCCUCCAGUACUCCAAGUUCUUGUGAUCAGUACAAACCUGGAUCUUGUGCUGUGCCCCUAUCAGCAGAUGUCGCCAUCGGCGAAACGCCGCAUAGAUCGCAAGCAGUUCGCGGUCGUACACCGUAUAGUUUUGCUCCGACUUGCUCAGCUUCCUCGAGAAAAAGGCACACGGCUUCCAUUCCUGCUUGCUCCUCCCUGGCUGCAAAAGAACCGCCCCAAUGGCUCUGUCGGACGCGUCGGUCUCUAGCCUCAUGGGUUUCUCCAGAUCAACGUGCAGGAGCUGCUCUUCCGAGCGAACGCCUUCUUCAGUCUUUCAAAGGAUUGCUGGGCACUUUCUGUCCAGACAAACUUCUUUUGCUACUGAGACAAUCUGUGAUGGGCGCUGUCAAGUGGGCGAAGUUCUUGAUGAACUUCCUGUAGAAGUUGCUGAACCCUAGGAACCUCUGCACGUCCUUCCGGGUUUUGGGGGCCUUCCAUUCCAGCACCGCCUGCACCUUGCUUGGGUCCAUAGCUAGGCCUUUGUCUGACAACUUGUACCCCAGAAACUCGACUUCUCUGGUGUGAAACUGACAUUUUUCCAGCUUGACCCACAACUGGUGCUUCUGCAGUCUCUUUAGCACUUCCCUGACGUCUCUGACAUGUUGCUUCUCAUUGUCCGAAUAGAUUAAGACGUCGUCCAAGAAGGCUACGCAGUUCUUGUACAGCAGGGACCCCAACACGUGGUGCAUGAAAGCUUGAAAACAGGCGGAGCCCGACUGUAAUCCAAAUGGCAUAACUAAGUACUCAAAGGCCCCCAGGGGGGUGAACAUUGUGGUCUUCCAUUCGUCCCCCUCCCUCAUCCUAAUCAAAUUGUAUGCUCCCCUGAGGUCCAGCUUGGUAAAAAAAUUUCCCUGCCUCACCCGUGUUAAAAUGUCGUCAAUCCUGGGCAUUGGGAAGGUCACGGGUUCUGAUACCAAAUUUAACGCCCUAAAAUCUACGACCAAUCUGGGCUGGUUAGUCCCUUUUUUGUCCACAAAGAACACCGGACUGCCCCCCACCGCCUUUGAUUCCCUUAUGAACCCCCUCUUCAGGUUCUUGUCAAUAAACUCCCGCAACUCCUUCAUCUCCCGGUCCGACAUGGCAUACAGUUUACCCACUGGCAGCUGAGCCCCUGGGAGCAAGUUGAUUUGGCAGUCAAAGGGUCUAUGGGGGGGUAGUCUAUCCGCCUCCUUCUCGCUGAAGACCUCCUGCAGGUCAGCAUAUUGUGGUGGCACCUCCCCUUUCGGCUCCACCGCUAACCCAGCCACCCUGGCCACGGUCAUCCUUGGGGUUUCCCCCCCUAGACAGUGUUCCAAGCAGUAAGCUGACCCAAAGGUGACCGUCCGCUGAUGCCAUGCCACUACUGGAUCAUGUAGUGCCAGCCAGCUCAUCCCUAAUAUUAUUGGGGGUCCUGCCAGUGUGGCUACGUGAAAGGCAAUGGUCUCCGUGUGCCUGGAAACCCUCAUUCUCAUUGGUGGGGUCUGGUGCGUCACUUCCCCUCCCAGAAGCUCCCUGCCAUCAAUGGUGGUCACUUGCAAGGGAAAAUCCAGGGGCAGCAGGUGGAGCUGGUGCUCUAGGGCGAAGUCCUUGCUGAAGAAAUUGCAGGAACUGCCUGAAUCCAACAGCCCCUUCACCUUGACUGGGUGCCCAUUCGGGAGUUCUAGCACCACUUCUAUGGCUAUGGCCGCUCUGGGGGUCUGGCUGGGGCACUUCUAUUGGUUGCUGGCCUGGCUGCUGUGCCCGCUGAGUGGCAGCCAAGCGUUGGCGUUUCCCUGCUCCUGCUCCUUUUCCCCCUCCUCCUCACCUCCAGCAGCUCCCACCAUUCCUUGCCAGGCCUUUCUUUGAGGGCAGACCCUGGCAAAAUGUCCUGGCCGCUGGCAGAGGAAACACUUCUUAUUAGUUUUCCAAUCCUUUCCCUCCCUUUUGCGACCUUCACUGGAGUUUGAAACCUCCCACGCGCGCGCCAUCAAUUUCCAUUGGCUCUGCCGGCGGGGAAGGCUGCCUCGGUAUUUCAGGAAUGCGGUAGUCAUGGCAACGUUCCCCUCUCCCUUCCCGCUUCUCCUGAGCCCGCGCUUCCUGUCUUACGCCAAUCGCAAGCACAGCCUUGGUCAGCUGAUCCAUCGACUGCGGGCGGGGCGCGCGGGAAAGCUCGUCCUUCACCGUUGGGGACAACCCCUCCUCAAACAACAUCUGAAUGGGUUCCGAGUCCAAUUCCCACCCGAGCCGGUGGACUAACAUGGCAAAGCGCGACCAGUAGUCUCUAACUGACUGGUUCCCCUGUUUACAACCCAUCAGUUCCCGCCGAGUCACACUUUGCUGCACAUCACUGGAAUACAUCGCAUCCAUCGCCUGGAAGAAUUUCCUCAGGUCUUUCAAGGCGGCAUUUUGCGUUGCCAUUAGGGGCCUGAUCCAUUCCCUGGCCCCAUCCUGCAGAUGCCCGACAAUGUAUGCCACCCUCUCCCCAUCGUCCGCAAAAUCCUUAUGCUGCAGUUCCAAAGCGUAUUCUAUUUCCGUUCGGAACGCGUUGUAGUCCUGGGGCUUCCCCCCAAACUUGUGUACCAGUCCCGGUACCUUCCUUGCUACGGGGUGGUCCUGACCUGUGUAUUGUGAGCCCGCCUUUCUUCCAACCGCGCCGUGAGAAGAGCCACAUGCUGUUCCAAAUCUCGGUUCCUCUCCACCAGAUUUUGCACUCCAGCUGCUCCCUCCGUGGCGCCGGCUUCUCCGGUUUGGCUCAUUCUGCUGCCUGCCUGUCGCUGCGCACAAGCAACGUCAAGGACUGACGGAUUGCUGUAAUAAAUGUAGGGGUUGCUCGUGCGCAAGUUGGUGCCACUCCUGGCUAGGUUGCCUUGUUAAACCUUUUCUGUCUGGACAGCCCUGCACUUCGUGGCUGUUCAGUCGCUAGCAGAAUCCGUCAGUGGGCGUUUCUUAAACCUUUUCCAGCAUAAAAGUUGUUUGACUCCAAGUCUCCUCCUACUCUCCCUGCGCGGAAGCCUUCUGCGCAGGGAGGGCGUGGGUAGCGGAGGACCCGUGCUCUCCUCGCUGAUCUCCGGCGAGGAGUCCUGGCGCCGCCCCGCCGAGUCCCCCAUUGCCCCCUUUCGCCCUGGUGUUACGCUGAUUUCGUUCCCCAGCUGGUGAGCCGCCUCUCCCCUGCUGGGCCCUUCUCCAGCAUCGCUUGAGAGCCUANNNNNNNNNNNNNNNNNNNNNNNNNNNNNNNNNNNNNNNNNNNNNNNNNNNNNNNNNNNNNNNNNNNNNNNNNNNNNNNNNNNNNNNNNNNNNNNNNNNNUCUCCAGCAUCGCUUGAGAGCCUAGCCUCCGCCUCUGGCUCCGAUGUCAGUUCCCUGACAGUAACCAAGUAGAACAAGCCUGUUUGAGUUCUUCAUACGGUUUCAAUUUUAAUUGUCCUUGUUCUUCUUUUAAAAGUUGUUUAUACGUAACUCCAAUUUUUCCAUGUUUUUCUUUUUAUUGAGAUAAUUUCAGAUUCAGUUGUUUUUGCCUCAUCUCCAAAAAGGCUAUAUUGUCCAACAUCUCUUCUUGUGUUUUAUUAAUUUCUAUGACCUCUCCUCCAACCCGUUCUGUCUCCCUCUUUGUCUCCUUCAAUUGUUUCUGUGUGCGUUUCAUUGAGUCUUCCACAGCCUUGGAUCUAACUGCAAGGUCUUUUACUUUGCCUGACAAUUCCCCCCCCAACUGCUUCUAGUUUUUUAUUUAAUGUUUCCUGUACCUCCAAUAAUUUUUUCUCCAUAUAUUGUUUAUUCUGUUUAAAUUCUUUCCUUAUUUCCACCAUUAAACUUUCCUAGUCUCUGUUUUUUUUUAAAAGAUAUUUAUUAGGAUUUUCAAAAUAUUACAAAAUAGAAAAAGAAAAAAGAAAAAUACAAAAUAAAAAUAGUUAAAAACAAAAUAGUCUUUCAAUCACUUAUCUUUCAUUUGCUUGUUUCCCAGACCUCCUCACGCCUCCCUUUUCUGUAUUCCACUUCAAUUGUUAGUUUAGCAAAUCCCUCCCCUCUUUGUUUAUCCUAGUCUUCGAUCUUAAAAUAUUGUAACAUUAAAUUUUUACCUAUUAAUAGUCCAUUUUUUCAUAUUCCCUUAUAAUAUUACAGCUAAAAACCACUUAGUUUCUAUCCAACAUCAUCCUAACAUUCAUCAAUUUUACAAUAUUUCUGUAAAUAGUCUUUGAACUUUUUCCAAUCUUCUUCCACCGACUCUUCUCCCUGGUCUCGGAUUCUGCUAGUCAUUUCCGCCAAUUCCAUAUAGUCCAUCACCUUCAUCUGCCAUUCUUCCAGAGUGGGUAGGUCUUGUGUCUUCCAAUACUUUGCAAUAAGUAUUCUUGCUGCUGUUGUGGCAUACAUAAAGAAAGUUCUAUCCUUCUUUAGCACCAAUUGGCCGACUAUGCCCAACAGAAAGGCCUCUGGUUUCUUUAGAAAGGUAUAUAUAAUACCUUUUUCAAUUCAUUAUAGAUCAUCUCCCAGAAAGCCUUAAUCUUUGGGCACGUCCACCAAAGGUGAAAGAAUGUACCUUCGUUUUCUUUACAUUUCCAACAUUUAUUAUCGGGCAAAUGGUAGAUUUUUGCAAGCUUGACUGGUGUCAUGUACCACCUGUAUAUCAUUUUCAUAAUAUUCUCUCUUAGGGCAUUGCAUGCCGUAAAUUUCAUACCUGUGGUCCACAACUGUUCCCAGUCAGCAAACAUAAUAUUAUGUCCAACAUCUUGUGCCCAUUUAAUCAUAGCAGAUUUCACUGUUUCAUCCUGAGUAUUCCAUUUCAACAGCAAGUUAUACAUCUUUGACAAAAUCUUAGUUUUGGGUUCUAACAGUUCUGUUUCUAGUUUUGAUUUUUCCACCUGGAAGCCAAUAUCUUAUCCAAAUUAUAUGCCUCCAUUAUCUGAUACAGUGGUGCCUCGCAAGACGAAAUUAAUUCGUUCUGCGAGUUUUUUCGUCUAGCGAAUUUUUCAUCUUGCGAAGCACGGUUUCCCAUAGGAAUGCAUUGAAAUUCAAUUAAUGCGUUCCUAUGGUCAAAAAAAGUCCAAUCAAAGCCAAAUUUGGUACAACAAUAGUUUAUUAACUGCUCUUUAAAGUCACACAUACUUUAAAGAGCAUAUCAAAAUUGAAGGAACAAUAAAUUAAGUUUCUAAACAUGACAGAAAAACAUUUAAAAAUCAACAAAGUGUACUGUACAUACAUUUUCUAAGACUCUGGGGACCACUCGAAGAAGGUUCCUCUUCCACUCUUUGCUUCUUGCUGAGGAACCUGUCCAUGGUCUGCUGCUUCAUCCGCCUUUUCAGCAGCUCCCUGAGAGGCAACAUGACCGUCGUAUCAAAAGUGUUCGCUUGGUCAUGUGCCACGUGCUUGUUAGGGUGGUGCCGCUCUGCAAAAGCCUGCACCUCCUUCCACUUCUGGCAAAUGUCCCUCAGUUCUUUGGAGGACGGCCGUUCCUCAGUUGCUUCCUCCUCUUCCAGCGAGGCCUGCUCCUGCGCAACCUCUGCCUGCAGUUCAACCAGCUCCUGGGUGGUCAGCUCGUGGUCGUGCUCCUCCACCAGCUCGCAGACGUCCUCCUCUGUGACCUCCAGGCCCAUGGUCCUCCCCAAGGCAACAAUGUCCUGCACCACUGUUGACUCUGGUGCAUCAGAGUCACUUGGUGCCACACAGUCCGGCCACAGGCUGCGCCAAGCGCAAUUCAAAUUUCUCUGGCUGAUCCCGUUCCAGGCCGUGGUGAUCAUCUUCAAGCAGGUGACGAUGUCGAAGUGGUCCUUCCAGAAUUCCCGCAGGGUGAUGGUGGUGCAAUCAGUCACCUCGAAGCAUCGCCUGAAAAGCUCCUUGGUGUAGAGUUUUUUGAAAUUGGCGAUGACCUGCUGAUCCAUCGGCUGGAGCAGUGGCGUGGUGUUAGGCGGCAGGAACAUGAUGUUGAUGAAGCUGAACUCCUCCAACAAGUCCACCUCAAGGCCUUUAGGAUGAGCAGGAGCAUUGUCCAUCAGAAGCAAAGCCUUCAGCGGCAGGUCGUUGUCCAGCAGGUACUGUUUGACAGCAGGGCCAAAAGCAAGAUUGACCCAGUCCACAAACAGCACACGUGUGACCCAAGCCUUGCUGUUGGAUCGCCACAUGACACUCAGCCGCUCCUUGUCGACCUUGUGUUUCUUGAAGGCCCGUGGGUUCUCCGAGUGGUACACCAGCAGGGGCUUGAUCUUCAGGUCGCCGCUUGCGUUGGCACAGAAGAGCAGGGUCAGGCGGUCCUUCAUGGGCUUGUGGCCAGGCAACUUGGCCUCCUCCUGUGUGAUGAAAGUCCUUUUGGGCAUCCUCUUCCAAAACAGCCCGGUCUCGUCGCAGUUGAAGACCUGCUGUGGAGCGUAGCCCUCUGUCUUCACAGCCUCCAGGAACUCCAAGGCAAAGUCUUCAGCCGCAGGAACAUCAGAACUGGCAGCCUCUCCAUGCCUGACCACGCUGUGGAUUCCAGAUCUUGCCUUGAACCGGUCAAACCAGCCUCUGCUUGCCUUGAAGACUUCUGGCUCGCCUGAGGUUCCUGGCUGUUCCCGGAUGAGGUCUGCGUGCAAGGCCUUGGCCUUCUCACAAAUGACGGCCUCAGUCACUGUGUCCCCUGCACGCUGCUUCUCUUCUAACCAGAUGAGCAGCAACUUCUCGACCUCCUCCAGAACAGCUGGGCGGUUCUUCACGAUCCUGGUGACUCCCUUGGCUGCAUCAGUCGCAAGGAUCUUCUCCCUCAUCUUCAGGAUGGUCCCGAUGGUCGAUGGGUUCCUGCCGUACUCCCUGGCGAGGUCCGUCACACGCAUUCCACCGUCGUGCUUCCAGAUGAUCUCCUUCUUCAUUUCCAGCGUCACCUUCUCCUUCUUCCUCUCGCCGGCCUCCGCAGCAGCAGCAGUCUUCUUGGGUCCCAUGGCAGCACAGCUCUUACCUUCGUAAACUCAGAAAAAAUAAAUAAAUCAGCAAUUCAAACCCACAACCAAGUCCUUGAAUUCCAAACACCCAACCCAAAAUCCAAAAACCCCAAAAAAAAGUUUUAAAAGUUUAACUUACGAAAUGGCUGCAAAUCACCAAAGUCUUCAAAAUCCUCAAAUGGCUGCAAAAGAAGUUUUGGGAAAGCUUUAAAAAUCACCAAAGUCUUCAAAAACCUCAACUGUUCCCCCAGCCCCUCCCCAACUGUUGCAAACCCCUCCCCAACUGUUGCAAACCCCUCCUCAACUGUUCCCCAUCCACCCAGCACACAGAAAUUCAAACCCAGAAUUUUUUCAAAAAACAACAACAUGGCCCAAUGGUCACAGAAAACCAUAAAAAUUCAAAAAAACACCACACAAGCUCCCAGAUUCUUGCAAACCCCUCCCCAGCUGUUCCCCCAGCCACCCAGCACACAGAAAUUCAAAACCCAGAAAUUUUUUUCAAAAAACAACAACAUGGCCCAAUGGUCACAGAAAACCAUAAAAAUUCAAAAAAACCCACACAAGCUUCCAGAUUCUUGCAAACCCCUCCCCAGCUGUUGACCCAGCCACCCAGCACACAGAAAUUCAAAACCCAGAAUUUUUUUUCAAAAAAAACCAACAUGGCCCAAUGGUCACAGAAAAUCAUAAAAAUGCAGAAAAAACCACACAAGCUCCCAGAUUCUUGCAAACCCCUCCUCAACUGUUCCCCCAUCCACCCAGCACACAGAAAUUCAAACCCAGAAUUUUUUUUCAAAAAAAAAAAAACAUGGCCCAAUGGUCACAGAAAAUCAUAAAAAUGCAGAAAAAAACCACACAAGCUCCCAGAUUCUUGCAAACCUCUCCCCAACACCAAGUCCUUGAAUUCUAAACACCCCAACCCAAAAUCCAAAAACCCUCAAAAAAGUUUUAAAAGUUUAACUUACCAAACAGCUGCAAAAGAAGUUUUGGAAAAGCUUCAAAAAUUCAGCAAACUCUUUAAAAAGCUCAAAAAGGCCACCACACCGCGUGCAAUGUGUUGCUCCUCGAAGUCAAGUCGCAACUGCACGUCUUCCAGCAAUGCACCCUGGGUAUUAACGGUUUUACGAAAAGGAAACAAACUUGCAAGACGUUUUCGUCUUGCGAAGCAAGCCCAUAGGGAAAUUCGUCUUGCGAAGCAACUCGAAAAUGAAAAAACCUUUCAUCUUGCGAGUUUUUCGUCUUGCGAGGCAUUCGUCUUGCGGGGCACCACUGUAAUAAUGAAGCCAGUCUCGCACUUUAUCUUUUAAUUUCUCAAAACUGCAAUUUCAAUUUAUCUCCUUCUUGUUCCAAAAUUUCCCAAUAUUUCGGCCAUUUGGCCUCCAUAUUGAGCCUUUUCUGAGCCUUUGCUUCCAUUAGUGACAACCACCUUGGGGUUUUAUUUUCAAGUAAGUCCUUAUAUCUUAUCCAGACAUUUAACAAUGCUUUCCUAACAAUAUGGUUUUUAAAUGCUUUAUGUGCUUUAACCUUGUCGUACCACAAAUAUGCAUGCCACCCAAAAACAUUAUUGAAACCUUCUGAAUCCAAAAUGUCUGUGUUCUCAAGAAGCAGCCAUUCUUUCAACCAGCAGAAUGCUGCUGAUUCAUAAUAAAGUUUGAAGUCUGGCAGGGCAAAUCCACCUCUGUCCUUUGCAUCAGUUAAUAUUUUAAAUUUUAUUCUGGGCUUCUUGCCCUGCCAGACAAAUCUAGAAAUAUCUCUCUGCCACUUCUUGAAACAGUCCAUUUUGUCCAAAAUUUGCAAUGAUUGAAACAAAAAUAACAUUCUUGGCAAUACAUUCAUCUUUAUAACAGCAAUUCGACCUAACAAGGAAAUCUUCAAGUUUGACCAUAUCUCUAGAUCCUUUUUCACUUCUGACCAACAUUUCUCAUAAUUGUCUUUAAAUAGGUUUAAGUUCUUGGCGGUCAUAUUAACCCCAGGUAUUUUACUUUCUUAACCAAUGUUAAACCUGUCUCCUUCUGAAACCUCUCUUUCUCAAUCGGUGUUAAAUUUUUCUCAAGCACCUUAGUUUUUAACUUGUUCAGCUUAAAUCCUGCCACAUGACCAAAUUCCUGAAUCAAUUCUAAUACUCUUUUAGUACUAGAUUCUGGCUCCUGUAACGUCAAUACUAAAUCAUCUGCAAAAGCUUUCAAUUUGUACUGUUUAGCUCCAACCUGUAUGCCUUUAAUCAGACGGUCCCUUCUGAUCAUAUUUAGCAAAACCUCCAGGACCGAAAUGAAAAGCAAUGGGGAAAUUGGGCAGCCUUAUCGUGUCCCUUUCUCUAUCUUAAAUUCCUCUGUCACCACAUUAUUAACUAUUAGUUUAGCCUUUUGUUCUGAGUAAAUUGCACUUAUACCAUUUUCAAACCCUUGACCAACCCCCAUCCCCUGAAGAUUUUUCUUCAUGAAACUCCAAGAAAUGUUGUCAAAGGCUUUCUCCGCGUCUACAAAAAUUAAGACAGCUUUAGUAUUAAUAUUCACUUGCAACAUCUCCAAAAUGUUAAUUAUAUUCCUCGUGUUAUCAGACAAGUGUCUACCCGGAGAAAGCCAGCUUGGUCUUUAUGUAUCUCCUCCACUAAUACUUUUUUAACCUUUUAGCCAAAAUAUCUGCAAAAAUUUUAUAAUCCACAUUAAGCAGGGAUAUGGGGCGGUAGUUCUUAAGUUGUGUCUUUUCAGACUCAUUUUUCGGUAUUAGUGUAAUAUAAGCUUCCUUCCACGACUCUGGCGCUUUUUUCCCCUCCAAAAUUUCAUUACAAACCUCCUUUAGUGGUUGAAUUAUCCAAUCUUUUAAGGACCUAUAAUAUUUUGAGGUUAAGCCAUCUGGCCCUGGAGAUUUGCCCAAUUGCAUGUUCUGGAUGGCACCUUCCACCUCCUGUUCUGUUAUUUUAUAGUUCAACAUUAACUUGUUUUCUUGAGAGAUUUUUGAAGUCCAUUUGUUUUUUAAAAUUGGUCUAAAUCACACUCUUUCUGUGGCCCUUGUGUAUAUAGCUGUUUAAAGUACCUCUGGAAGCAUUUUCUAAUUUCCACUGGAUUCUGGAUGUUCUUUCCUUCCACUUCCAAGUUAGUAAUGGUGUUAAGUUUUUGUCUUUUUUUCAUUUGCCAAGCUAACAGUUUUCCACAUUUAUUGGCCGAUUCAAAUGUCCUUUGUCUCAUCUGUUUAAUUUUCCAUUCUAUUUCCUGAUUCAUCAUCUUCAUAUAUUGAACUUGGUAUAACUUUAUUUCUCUCAGAAUCUCUUGUGACUUUGGUUUCGCUCUCAGUUUCUUCUCACCCUCUUUUAUUUUUUCUAAGAUUUUAUCUUUUUUCUCAUUUUGGGUUCUCUUCUUUAUUGCAUUCUGCUGAAUUAGAAACCCCCUCAUAACUGCUUUGCUUGCGUCCCAGAUUACUCUUUUUUCGAUGGUAGUGUUCAUAUUUAUCUCAAAAUAGUCUCUCAAUGUUUUUUGGGCCUUCUUGAUAACUUCUUGAUCUCUAAACAAGGUGUCAUUCAUCCUCCAUCUGAAGGAACCGGUAGGUGUUAAUUUCAUCUCCAUUUUCACAGCAUUGUGGUCGGAGCAAGUUUUAGGACAAAUUUCCACUUUUCGAGGCUUAGGUGCCAGUCCUCUAGUUAUCCAGAUUUGGUCAAUAAACUUUCCUAGUCUCUGAUCUCCUUCCCCUCCUUCCCAUUCUCCUGCCUAGAGGGAUGUCUUUCCCCUGGGGUGGCUAUUCCCUUUUCCUCAUUUUUCCCAGACAUGAUGUUUAUUUUGCCCCAAAAUACUGCUUGGGUCUUAAAUUGUCCUGUGUAAUUUUUCUGACAACCUCCAGGGGUCUGACAACCUCCAGAAAGUCCAAUCUUUCUGUUUUUAGGUCAAAUUCCCUCCCGUCCCACACAAUGGCAGCAAACACAGAAAUGACCUUUCCUUCAGUACAGUUACUUUCGUUUUCUUUGUCUAUUACACCGUCGCGUCCAAAGAAAGCUCACAGGAAACAAAGAGCAGAAAAACCAAACUACUGUAUAUGAGGAAUAAUAAUAAUAAUAACAAUAAUAAUAAAUAAGAAUAAUAAAUUUUAUUUAUACCCCACCCUCCCCAGUCAAGGCCGGGCUCAGGGCGGCGAACAGCCAAUAAUAAAAGCAAGUUGAAUGAAUACAACUGAAAAAAACAAGAUAUAAAUACAUUAAAACAUUAAAAGGAAGAUAUUUGUAAUCCAAUUUGCAUUCUUCUUCCUUUUCUGCCGCUUGUCGGCUUAAUCCACUGGUGACCUCUGAAAAGCGCCACAAACUCCAGCAACAAUAACGAACAGGGUUUCCAAUGUCUUUCUCCUCACGAAACGAUGCUGGUAAGGCGGUGAAUUUUAUAAGUCCCAGCGCCAAAAUCUCCUUCUCCAACACUGUCUUAAAAUCCCCCAACAAAGUCCGCUGAUCGGCUUAGUCCACUGGAAGCCUCAAGAAAACGCCACGUACUCCAAAAGCAAUCAGGAACGGGGUUUCCAGGGUCUUCCUCCUCAUGAAGUAAUUCCUUGCUCCUCCUGCAACCUUCCGCCAUAUGCCGUCUUCUCCCAGCUGCCGGGACGGACUCCCUUUCUGCGCCGCACUCAUUCAAUUUCUUCUACAGUGAUGUCCUCUGGAAGAGAAUGAAAAAGAGAGACUGAAUUAACAGCCUCUCUCAACGCCUGCCAAACAAUACCCAACCCAAGGGUCCAACCACCUCAGCUUUUGUAGCUGGAGUCAGUCAGGGCCCUGCCUACUGAGGUGAAGUGAAAAAGGCCUGCAAGGCACAUCAAGAAGGCCUGGGAGAUCUUUCUCAGGAAUGAACCAUAACACUACUAAGUGAAAAGUCCCCAGGGUGUGGAGAUUAGUUUACCUUCCUUAGGCACUGGCCGAACGCGGGACCGGUGUCAUUGGGCUAUUGCCUUCUGCAGAGGAAAGAGAAAGCUGGAUGAGAUGCCUUAUGUGAAACUACAAAACCCACCAUUGACAGGUGCAAGGGAGCCCACAAGCAGGCCCAAGCCAGGAAAGACUGGCCUCCCUCAGGCUUGGGCCCAAUCCCUUGCCCCCGAGGACCUCCAUGGGCCCUGCAGCCUCCUGGGCAGAGGUGGAAGGGCAGCACCAGGGAAGAGGGCAGGACAUGCCUCUGGCAUCAUCCUGACACCCCAAGAACCCAUGCCACCUGCAGUUCCGUCUGCAGGUGAAUCUUCUCUUUUGGAGUUCAUGUUUUUAUAUCAGUUCAUUCUUCAUUCAGCCCCAUUUCCAAAGGGAGACAAUCCCAACGUCCCUUGAAAUGCAGGAGAAGACGCCCAAGUCUAGGGGUGUCCAUAGCACAGGAUUAGACAAUCUGCUUUGCCUUAUCACCAUCCUCAGAUAAUCCUGGAUGACAUCUCCAGGUGGGGCAGAGAAUGUUCCCUGUCUGAAACCCAGAAGAGAUGCUGUCGGUCAGUGUAGACGACGCUGAGGUGGAUGGGUCAAUGCCUGACACUGUCCAAGACAGUUUCCUAUGAAUAUUCCUCUUAAGUCAUUUACCCUGAAGACAAGCAAGCUAACUUCUCCACAAGACCAACAAUCAAUUUCUCCAUUUAGAAGGCAAUAUGGAAAAGUCCCAGUUUUAUAUACAACAAUGCAAGUACAAAAAUCUUGAAUAUGAGAGGAAGCAAUAUUCUGGACUCUGUAAUGAAGCAAUAGGCAAAGGGUCCUGAAGCAGAGCAAGUUGGGGGGGGGCAUCUGUCAGGGACUCUUCAGCUGUGAUUCCUGCAUUGCAGGGGGUUGGGCUAGAUGGCCUUUGGUGUGGCCCCCAGUUCCACGAGUCUGUAAUUCUAGGUUUGUACUCUGUACUGGGUCCUGUUAUAUUUAGGCACCAUCUCUUUUCUAUAUGCCUGCUUCAGUCCUUGGAGACCUAGUUCAUUCACCCUUCAAAAGCACGUCUUUAAUGUGGUACCUUGUCAAAGGUGCACACCUCAUUCCUGGCAUCUAUCUGCCCUGUGCACACUACAAACACAUUUGUACUACAAACAACAACAAAAACAGAAACAAACAGCAAACCACCAAUCCUGCAUUGAACAUAUAUAUAAUUUUCAUUAAAUUUUCUGUUUUGCAAUUUAGAAUAUUCAUUUAAACAACCUUAAAAUAGCAAUGACUUCCGUUCUUUUCUUUCCAUGGUUCAUUUUACAUAACAUAAAUCCUUGCAUAUUUUACAUAAACGAAACCAUUCAGUAUUUUUUUAUUGCAUCCAUCAAAACUUAUUUACACUGUUGAAUUGAUCUUAAUCCUGCCAGCUGUGCACAGUUAUUUAUCUUAAUCCUUUCAGUUGUGCACAGUUAUUUCCCAUAUAUUCAAUAAACGUUUUCCAAUCUCUAAACGUAUGUUCUUCUCGUUCUCUUAUGUUAAGUCUGCAAGCUGCGCAUAUUCUGUUAACUUAAGUUGCCAUUCUUCUUUGGUUGGGACCUCACUCGUUUUCCAUUUUGGGGCUAACAAAACACGCGCCACAGUAGUGGCAUACAUAAAUAACCUCUUUUGACACCUGGGAAUUUCAGUCUGAAUUCUCCCCAACAGAAAGGACUCUUUGUUUUUUGGGGGAAGUACUUUUGAACAUUUUUUUCAAUUCAUUAUGUAUCAUUUCCCAAUAUUCUCUUACACCUUUACAAGUCAACCACAUAUGAAAGAAUGUUCCCUCAACCUUUUUGCAUCUCCAGCACUUAUCUAAUUCAGACUUAUACAUCUUAGCAAGCCUACUCGGAGUUAAAUACCGUCUGUACAUUAUUUUCAAGUAGUUCUCCUUAAAAGAAUAGCAUGCUAUUAACUUCAAAUCACUUUUCCGGAGCUUUUCCCAGAGGUUAAAAAUCAAUAUUGUGACCUAUAUCUAUUGCCCAGUGUGUCAUUGAGGCUUUAACAAACUCAUCUUUUGUUUCCCAAUCUUAUAACAGAUUCUACAUUUUGGAGAAAAGUUACUCAUUGUUUUGUAAUAGUUCUUUUGAAUUGUGAGCUUUGGUCCAGAAAACCAUUUUUUAAUUUAAACAUUUUAUGUAACUGAUGGUAUUGUAACCAAUCCAUGACAUGGCUCUGUACAUUUUGAAUGUGUUAUAAACAUGCAAUGCCAGAUGGCACUGGAGAGCAAAUGAAUUUUCUAUGCAAUUUGUCCAUAGCGAUAUUUUCUUUUCUUAUAACCAUUUAAUUUAUUAUCUAUAGCGGGGCGUUUCCUGUGUGUAGAUCCAUCCCUAGUCUCGCAUUCUGCACUAACUUCCGCUUCUGGAUCAAGCACAAGGGAAGCCCCAUAUAGACUGCAUGGCAGUAGUCCAGUCCUAAUGAGUUGUAAUGGUUUUUUUGGGGGGGGGUUGUGAUUUUAUUAAUUUCUUGUAACCAACCUUGGAAGGAUUUGUAUCCUGAAAGGCGUGGUGAUGGCGAUGGAAGAUAAAUGAGAGAAGACAGGAUGGCAGCUGAACUUGCAUCCUUCUAAUUAAAAGGUUUUUGAUUGUGAUGGAUGGAAAACAGUUGGCAAUUUCAUAGCGAUGCCUCUUAUCAGAAAGGUGCCGGGAGGAAGAUCUGUUCAUGUUCUAUCAGCAGUGCUGCAGCUUCCGAGACAGAAAAAUUUGCCAUGCCAUAUGUAUAAUCAAAUGUGGCAUCUGCCUCUGUGUGUGUGUGUGUGUAGCUGGUUCACCUCAGCAAGAGAGAGGAAAGGCAUAUUGUAUUCUUCUCGUUAUGAAAGCAAUGCCUUUAUUAUUAAGGUCAAAAAGCAGAAUCUUGGAGACAACUGUGCAAUAGCUAUUUCAGUCCGUCAGUGCCUAAAUGAAUUGCUUCAGAUUAAUUACCCUGAAAGCAAGCCAUUGGUUGUUUUAAGAGCCAGAACGUUUCGUGUCUGCGGUAGGGCCUGAAGUGGGCUAAAAAAAAUUGCUACAAUUUUUCCUCAUUUGUGAUAUAACGGGGGGUUUUUUAAUAGAAAAAAAUGACUGAGGAGAAGCAGCCUUGACCCCGUACAAGUGGUAGUCAAGAGAAACCUUACGUGUUCAAGUGUUUAAUGCAUGCAGGAAAUGUAUGCUCAAAACUGUAAGUGUAUGGGAGGCAAGUGCAUCUUCCGAAAUACAAGUGGGGCCUACAACAAAAUGUUGCAGCGUGAAGUGUUUCUGUUGAGGUUUCCACCCACUCUGUUCCAUUGUCCCUCCUGCCCAACUUUCUGUGUCCCCCUCUCCUUCAUCAGUCAGUCAGUAUUCCAUGGCCACUAAACCCACAUGGUCUUCACUGAGGUAUUGGCAAUGGACGGCAUUGAGGUAUUUAGGGUUUUUCCUCUUAAAAAUAUGUACUUCCUUCUACCUUUGGGUCCUCUUAACCCUGAUGAUACUCCCCUUGUGGUGCUGUUUUAGCAAUUACAUUUAAUUCCUGUACUUUAGGAUUAGAUAGAAUCACACUGCUAGAGGUCCUCAGUUCCUCAGAGAAUUCUGUUGUUUUUUCCUAUCAGAGACGGCCAGCUGUUUUAUUUUAUGUAGUGCAGCUAGGAAAUGGAUGAAUCGGUCCAUUUCAGUUCUCUACGUUUCUCAUUCUUCCAAUCUUCAACUUGCUUACAGUCUGCAGCAAUUUCUGAUUUGCUUUUUUAACCCUCAUGAAGAUUCGUUACCAUUUUGGUGCAAAUUUCUCCUAAUGAGCUCUUCUGUAUAUGCAGUUAGGCCAACACACAUAUUCCUGCCAGCAAUUGCCCAUAAUGUACACCCUGUAUUCUAUUUUCACAAAUAUAUGCAUUACACACACACUUUAACCUAGUAUAUGCAUUUUUCUUUUUCCUUUUUUUUAAAAAAUGCAUUUUUAUACAUUGGCUGGAGAUCAGCAUUGCAAAAUUCAGAAAAAUGUGAAUUUCGAAAGAAGGCUGAAUUCUGGUUCGCACUUUGUUUCUAAAAGCCCAAAUGAAGGAAGUCUUCCUUAAAGUACAAACUGAAUUGCAAUUCUCCUCCAUCCCCUUAAUGCAGGGCCUUCUCGGUAGUGGCACCCGCCCUGUGGAAUGCCCUCCCAUCAGAUGUCAAAGAAAUAAACAACUAUCUGACUUUUAGAAGGCAGCCGUGCUUAGGGAAGUUUUUCAUAUUUGAUGAAUUACUGUAUUUUAAUCUUUUGUUGGAAGCCACCUAGAAUGGCUGGGGAAUAAAUUAUUAUUAUAAGUAGUAGUAGUACUCUCUGCCUACCAAGGGCAGCCCACCCAUAAGGUUACUCAGAAGGCAGGAUCCACAGGGGCAGCAGAUCUGGCCGCUGGUAAAUGCAUUGCCCACUGUUGCCACUACAGUGGCAGCAACAACUGGGGUGGUCUCCUUGGAGGCUGGAUCUGCCUCUUCCUCAGAAGCCCCUCCAAUGCUACCUUUACAGCGACCUCUUGGUGAAUAGGAGGCUGUUCUCCUCCCACCUUUGUUCCCAAGGUAGAUCUUUAUUCCCUCCUUGUUCUUGAUGUAGUGUCAGGCUUUGGGGAAUCAGCUUCCUCCCCCCGUGGCAGUAGAUAAGAGAUCAAAUGAAAGGAAUAUCUUACCAGUUAGAAUCUUUAAUAAUCACAGCAAGAGAACAAAGAACACGUCAUCUAGAAAUGGCGGUGCUCCCAAUUAAGGGUUACCCGCCCACGUCCCUGUUAAUCUACAUCACUCCUAUGUCUUGUAAUCUAAGUUUGUAACCUCUGCGCUUUUUCUUCUGACACUUUCUGAGCUCGCCGUGACUUGGGGGGGGGGCGCGAGUGCUGUCCAGAGACUGUGAAUCUGUUAACUCUCUCUCUUCCCGUGUUUCUUCUCCUAGCUGUUCCCCACCCAGUAUUUCCCAGCUUCUGCCUUCUGAACUAUGCCCCUCUGCAAACCACCGUUCCAAAUCUAUACUGUCCUCCUGCUCCUGGGAAGAUUCAGGAUCAGGAUCGGGGGGUGGCUCCCACCAUUCUUCCUCAGUGCAGCCCUCCUCAGCAGGACAUGUAGCUCUUCACUCACCCCUUCAUCCCCGGUGAGAGGGAUGCCACUUUGUGUUUUGCCUCGGGUGCCAAAUUGCCUUGGGCCUGCACACCCUCUUGAUUUCUGUAGUGUUGUGGUUCCCUUCCCUUAUCCUCACCCUUCUCUCUCCCAGCUCCCUGCUGGACCUGCAAACCCACAAUCUGCUUCUUUACCCUUUACUGUACUUUUAUUUUCCCUUGAAAUCCUUCAAUUUUACCUCCUAGAUUGUCCAUUUUGCUUUCUGUGUCCCAGAAAGCCUUCUCUAACCAUCUUUUCCAACUCUCGCCUUCUAGAGCCGUAGGACCUCUACCUGAUGCUGUCCUAUCCGAGGUCACACAAUACAUUUAGAGCACAUGGCCUUACCCCAAAGAAUGUUGGGGACUGUAGUUUCUCCCUCACAGAGCCACAAUCCCCACCCCUUUAACAAACUACAGUUAUGUAAAGCCAUGUGCUUUACAUAAAUGGUUUGCGUGUGGUCCUACUCUUUACAAAGAUGCUAUGUACCAGCAUCUGCUGAACUCUCCAUCCUGCCAUCAUCUCGCUGUACCACUUUUGGUCCACCUGCAUCUCCAUCCACUUGGGACAGAAGAGAAAGCAGCAGCAUCUUCUGCAUCUACCUAACAGUUAGAAGCAGAGGAACAAUCAGUGCCUUGGCAUGCAAGAGGCUGAGCUCUGUUGCACAUGCAGAUCUUUGAAAUAUGUGGUUGUGCGAAGAAACCUAUUGCUAGCUGUGGAGAGAAACAACAGCGUUCCAUUCUCUCCAAAAGCUGGCAACUUUCCCAAACUGCAGGGAUCCUCAGCAAGAAUAUCAAUAAUGGCAGGCAAGCUCGCCUGGAAGCAGCAGAGCUGCCCCGAGACAUUUUGCUGCCUGAAUCAAGGUGCAUAUUAUCUAAAGCAGGCAUCUCAAAACUCGGCCAUCCAGCUGUUUGGGGACUACAACUACCAUCAUCCCUAGCUAACAGGACCGGUGGUCAGGGAUGAUGGGAAUUGUAGUCCCAAAACAGCUGGAGGGCCGAGUUUGGGGAUGCCUGAUCUAAAGCAAUUCAAGUAAUUCUGGCCACUGAGGCAGGAGAUCCCACAGCCCCUCUUCCUUCAGUAAAAAUAAAACAACAAUAAGUUAAAUUUUCAACAAGUCGCUGUCCUUUCAUGGAACCCUGAAUCACAGCCUGCCUAAUGGUAGGGCCGUCCCUAUAAAAGUUGGUCAAACGCUGCUGAUCUUCUCCUGGAAUGCACAGAAGGAUGUUGAGAGUUUAUGGAACUGGGGAAGAGAUUCAAUUCAGUUUGUAUUUCACGGAGAAUCUUUCAAAUCCACAGUUUCCAAAACUAGAUGAGAACCUGAACUCGGCCAUCCUUUGGAAUUCACUCUUCUCCACAUUUUGAAAUGCAGUUCUCUGAUCAAACAAGGUUUGCAAAAAUACACGUAUUAAGAAAAGUGUGCAUUCCAAUGGAUCUGUUAGGAACAACAACAUCAUACAACAAUGCCAUCUGUUUAGGGAAACUGUUUGCAAAAUAUGGACAUAGGUUGAAAUAGCAGACAAAACCAUGUUUAUUAGGGUAAAUUUGCACUAAAAUGCAGAUGAAUUUAUAUGAGGAAUUUUUAUUUUUUUAAAAAAAACUGCAAUUUGCUGUAGAAAUGUGGAGAACUAAAUUUAAGAUUUGGAAAAAUGAGAAAAUAAGAAACCCCAAAUUGGCAGGUCCGUCUGUCCCUAACUGGGAUUCACUUAUGGUUCACCUUGGGGCUACAGUGAAGCCAAAAUGGCCCACUCAGCACCUGAAUUUGGAAAAGAUAUGUAGAACAUUCCUCAAAACGCUAUGCAAUAUUCAGGAAUUCUGUGGCAGAUGAACAGGAGCUCCUUAGCAGACAAAUGAGUCCGGAAAAAGAAAGAGACCACUGUUGUAAAUAGCGUGUUCCUUCUUGUGGUUUAACCGUAGCAUCAUCAUUAAAUAUUUUAUACACUGCCGUCAUACGUCAUGUACAAAUGGCCACUCUUUUUUCCAAUUUAAUAUCGUCGCCACGGUAAAUCAAUCUUGACAAGUUUUCUUCAGCUCGGAGGAGAUAUAUGGCUCUCAUAUGUAUUUUUGGAAACUACCAAUUACAGCUUGACAGAAGCAGACAGCCUUCCCUCACCGCAGACUGCUGACCAAAAAGCUGCAAGGUUCAGGAGGCAAAAAGAAUAUUGAACACUUUAAAUUGGUUUUGAACUCGGAGCACGUUGAAUGGCUUUGUGCUGACAUGGCGAGGUCAAAAGGUGUCACGGUCUCUCAAUAACUGUGUUCAGAUUCUUCCAUCUUAGCUCGCGGAAACACAAUAAAUCACCUGAAUAUAAGAAAAAAACAACCACCUCAAAAGCCUUUUAGUACAGAAUCGGCAAAUAAGCAGGAACCUACUGAAUCAGUAUCAUUGUGGUCAGAAAAAGAGAGGGAAAAAACCUUUUCCAUUCAUUGUGGUUUGCUAAGUUUUUUAUUUGAAUUCAAUGAACUCAAAUAACAAAAUGUGAUUAUUUUUAAGCAUUCUUGCUGUGCUUCAGUUUUACUUUAAUAUCCUUGUUGCUUUGCCAUCCUCGCUGUGCUCUUCCUGACAACAAGCCUGGAAUAUAGAUCACUGUUAUUGCAAUGCCAGACAGCUGACACUGAAAGAUGGGGAUUUGCUAGGUAUGUUGAGCUUGAACCUGUUGAUGCAAGGGAAAAAAUAGGUAUAUAGAAAGGAGAAAUUCUGGAUGCCCAGAUCCAAGUUUGGAACAAAUACUCUUUGGUGAGAGAACGCCAGCACAGAUUUAAAAUCACAAAAUAUGCAACAAAGUAGAAGGUGGAACUAUAGGCUGGUAGACCUUUAAAAUAUGCAUUUCCAAGUGAGUUCCAAAAUAGUCCCCUCUUCCCCAAGCAUAGGGGGGGACAGACCCAGAUUUAGUACAUUAAAAGUGGUUUACUAACAAACUCUCCAAAGGUCAGGUUCAUGUGCUUUUCCAUAUAUCAGUCAGAAAGGUUGCACAGGCAGGUAGUAAAACUUAGCAUGUUCCAAAGUGGUGAAAGUUCCUAAAUUAUUGGUACAGUGGUACCUCGGGUUAAGUACUUAAUUCAUUCCGGAGGUCCGUACUUAACCUGAAACUGUUCUUAACCUGAAGCACCACUUUAGCUAAUGGGGCCUCCUGCUGCUGCCACACCGCCGGACCACAAUUUCUGUUCUCAUCCUGAAGCAAAGUUCUUAACCUGAAGCACUGUUUCUGGGUUAACGGAGUCUAUAACCUGAAGUGUAUGUAACCCAAGGUACCACUGUAUAGGAAUACAAAAAUGGCUAGUGUGAGACAUUCGGCUAAACUGGAGCAACCAGCUUAGCCUCUCCACAUGCUAAAUUUAUCAAGUAGACUGAAAGGGGGACAAAUGCUCGAUUACCUAGUUCCCUCUCAAGGUGCAUGGGAGUGGAUUUAGCUAAGCCUGUUCAGACAGCUUACUCUAUGGUAUUAACCCCUUCAUGUAUUAAUUAGAAGUAAGUGUGUUGGUUAUAUGAGGCUGGGUAUCCCACAGAAACCCCCCCCCCGAUGGAAAACACAGAGAGACAUUAAUCUACUGGAAUGCAGUUUAGUGUGGUUAGCUUAUCUGCCCCCAAGAAGCUGCUAUUGAAUGAAUGUAUAAUAACAUAGGAAGCAAGUAUUAGCGACUUUACUAGACUACUCUGGCAAAAUAUUGCAUAGCUGCCCAAAGGCAACAUAGCAACCAUCCCAGGCGUAUCAAAGAGGAAAUAUUCUAAGGGACAACAAAACAAGCCUUGAGCAGAUGUUCAGCAAAGGGGGAGAUAAAUUGGGCUGAUUUUGAGAUAUCUGAAAGCAUCUUUCUUGAGAGAUCUGUGCAGAAGGAGCAGGAAGUACAGAAGCAGCGGGGUGAGAACAGAAUGCGACUCGGCAUUAUUUUAAUGAGCCAUGAACACCCCCCCCCCAACCCUUUUGUUUCCUUAGUUAUGGUGCUCAUAAGAAUUAUGAAUUAUUAGCAGCAUAGAUUUUAUUGUUGCUUUCAGCUGGAAGGAUGCUGCAGUGUGAUCUAUAAACAAAACCAUCUGGCCUCCAUAAAAAUGUGCAUUAAAUUAAAAUGGGAUUGAGAAACUAAUGGGAUUACUCUUCCGCGUACUGAUAUUUGGUAUCACAACAAACACUUGUGUGCAUUAACAAGAGGAAGUCCUGACUCACUUGUGUAUUUAAUUUAAUGCCCUAAAACAUGGGUAGGCAAACUAAGGUCCGGGGCCUGAUCCGGCCCAAUCACCUUCUAAAUCCGGCCUGCGGACGAUCCGGGAAUCAGAAUGUUUUUACAUGAGUAGAAUGUGUCCUUUUAUUUAAAAUGCAUCUCUGGGUUAUUUGUGGGGCAUAGGAAUUAUUCAUAGAUAUUUUUCAAAAUAUAGUCCGGCCCCCCGCAAGGUCUGAGGGACAGUGGACCGGCUCCCUGCUGAAAAAUUUUGCUGACCUCUGCCCUGAUACAUUCACAACCUUAAAGAAUAUGAGCCCUGCACUAAAGAAAUGAAGGGAAAGACUGGGAGCAUGUGAACUUUACAUGACACUCCAGAAAACAGAGAGAAAUAAAGGGUUUAUCCACACUUCCUCUUCUCCCAAUGCUUUCACUUGGAAAGCUCAAUUGGAGCAAACAGCAAUUUGGGUUUUCCAUGGAUUAUCCUUUGUUCCGAUUUAAAGCUAAAGAGCAGGUUUUCCCUGGGAAAGGAGUGGGACAAGGGGAAAACCCACUCUAAAGGUUUACCUAUCCAUAGCCCAGUGCAGAGGGGACGCGGGUGGCGCUGUGGGUUAAACCACAGAGCCUAGGACUUGCUGAUCAGAAGGUCGGCGGUUCGAAUCCCCGCGACGGGGUGAGCUCCCAUUGCUCAGUCCCUGCUCCUGCCAACCUAGCAGUUCGAAAGCACAUCAAAGUGCAAGUAGAUAAAUAGGUACCGCUCCGGCGGGAAGGUCAACGGUGUUUCUGUGCACUGCUCUGGUUCGCCAGAAGCGGCUUAGUCAUGCUGGCCACAUGACCUGGAAGCUGUAUGCCGGCUCCCUCGGCCAAUAAAGCGAGAUGAGCACCGCAACCCCAGAGUCAGUCACGACUGGACCUAAUGGUCAGGGGUCCCUUUACCUUUACCUUUAGCCCAGUGCAGCUGUUAAUUGGUAAGGACACAAUGAGUGUGUAUUUUGAAGCCAGAAGCAGAAGGAUAGGUCAGGAACCCUAUGCCUAAGACGGGGUUGACAACCUGGCGCCCUCAGGCACCAGAAAGGCUUUUCUGAUAUCCCUGGGUAGGUGCCCCAGACUCUUAAGCUUUAUUUUUUUUAAAAAAAAGUCUCUAGCCCUCCUAGAAAGAAAGUUGCAGGGAGAAAUGUGCAGUUAUGUUCUAGAUGAUUUCUGUGAAGUGAGUGUGAUUUGCCACCUUGUAGAUAUUUCCUGGAAUUGUGGGGUGUUGUUCCCUGCUGCUAUUAUACAGCAACUCUCUCUCUCUCUCUGUGUGUGUGUGUGUGUGUGUGUGAGAGAGAGAGAGAGAGAGAGAGAGAGAUUUAGUGUAGAAAGGAAAAUCUGAAAACUACCUUGCCUUGGGUUUAUAUAAGCAUUGCCUGUUAUCCAUCUCGUCUCUAUUUCACUUUAGCUGAAGACUUAAAAUGGGGGUAGGGGUGGAAUGUAUUAGGAAUACCGAAGGGCCUUAUCUUGUGUGUGUGUUGCUGUUUUGUGCCCAGUCCCUAUGAAUCGACACAUCUAAUUAGCUGACAAUGCGAACUGUCUCUGUGGGCUUUGCAUCAGUGCAUGUUGUGUGCAAUGUUUUAUUCAGACACUAAAUGCUUCCCCCAUGGACCAUUGAACAAGUGCAGAUAAUGAGACCUCUGCUUUAUAGGGCCGCUUUAAAAUGUCUGCCUAGUAAACCAGGACAGGAAGAAUAAUGCCGAACUGUGGGAAUUGCGGGGCUUACGGCAACCAGAAGACAAUUUAUGGUUCUUUUUAAAUAUAUAAACAAAUAGUUUGUGUACAGAUAAACAGGGCCACCUGAUCCAUACAAGAUAGCAGAGAUGAAAGACUCUGUCUUAAAAGAGUUUUGCUAAAAAGUAAUGUGAGUCACGCAGUUAGGUAAUUUUAGACUCUGGACUUAAUGCAUAAUCUCCAACAUUUCUCUGAUGAAAACAGGGGCAUCCUACUCUGUUGUUGUUGUUGUUGUUUUACCCCAUCUAUCUGACUGGGUUGCUUCAGCCAUUCUGGGUGGCUUCCAAAACAUUAAACAUUAAAAAAACUCCCCUAUACAGGACUGCCUUCAGAUGUCUUCUCAAGGUUGUAUAGUUACUUAUCUCCUUGGCUUGGGGGUUUGCAUGACUCCAUAGCCUCCAACAUUUCUCUGAUGAAAAUAGGGACGUCGUAAGGAAAAGCAGGACAUCCCAGGAUCAAAUCGAAAACCAAGACGGCUUCUGUAAAUCUGGGACUUCUGUAAACCUGGAAAAUAGGGACACUUGGAGGGUCCAUUAAUAGUCUUAUAUGGGGCUCCCUCUUUAGUUGAUAAUGUGUAUUACUCCAAAAUGUAUUAAGGUUACUGUGCUGAGUUUGGGAGCCUUUCUGCUGAGUUGGGGCUUGGACUUCUGCUGCAAAGUUCUGCCCUGAUGACAGCACCACUCAGUGAAACAAUGGUUCUUGUUGUUGUUUAAUAUAUAUGGGGAAGGAAACCUUUGGCCCUCCAGAUGCUGUUGGACUCCAAAUCCCAUCAGCGCCAGCCAGCAAAGCCAACAGUCCAGGACGAUGGGAGUCGGGAGUCCAGCAACGUCUGGGGGUCCACAGUUCCUCCAUCACUGCAUUUUUGCACAUGGCCAUUUCUCAUCAAAUCAGUAUACAGUGGUACCUCAGGUUAAGUACUUAAUUCGUUCCGGAGGUCCGUACUUAACCCGAAACUGUUCUUAACCUGAAGCACCACUUUAGCUAAUGGGGCCUCCUGCUGCCGCCACACCGCCGGAGCACGAUUUCUGUUCUCAUCCUGAAGCAAAGUUCUUAACCUGAAGCACUAUUUCUGGAUUAGCGGAGUCUGUAACCUGAAGCAUAUGUAACCUGAAGCGUAUGUAACCUGAGGUACCACUGUACAUAACUAACUACAAAGCAGCUUGCAGACUGUUGCUCUUUUCAGGUGGAAUUCAAUCACGUGCCAACAAAUUCAGGCUGUGUAGUUUAUAGCUGAAUGGAGGGUCUUGCACACGUGUGCAAGCACCCAAAGUUUAUACACUGCCUACUUAUUUCAAAAUGUUGCUAUGUCCAAUGACCUAUCUUCUGGGAUUUAUAUCUGUAUUUCAAACUAUUUACAAACGCAGAGUGAAAGAGACAGAAUGCUGUAUCCAAAAGACAGCAGCCGGAGGUAGCUUCCUACUUACCUUGAGGUAACUACUGAAGAAAUGCCUGGAUGACGUUCUGCUUACCCGGCAGUAAAUGGGCAAUCGCCCCAUGGAAGCAAGACAUCCCGUGUGUCAGAACACAUUGAUGUUUUUGAGAUUUGAUCAUGUCCCUGAUUUUUUUUUCCUGAAAAUGCAGCACUCUAAAGAGGCUAUUUUGGUUUUUUUCAUCUGAAACCAAUUGCAAACCAAGAAUUAGGCAUAAUCAGUCUUGAGUUGGGCAGCUCCUUUGAUGAAAUCAGGAUGAAACAGUCCAAUAAUAUAUAUAUAUUUUAAAAUCUCUUGCUCCACUUAUUCACAGCCAUUCCAUAUGGCGUACUUUGGGGGAUAUCAUGCCUUCUUGCACAUCUUAGCUAGUAAAAGAGUAGAUCUUUCUUAUUACCCCUUGCGUUUGGAAUCUUUCAACUAACAUUUUCAUCGAUAGUAUUCGUAUCAAAGGGGAAAGUAUUUGACAGACAGCUGUUCCUGAACUUUGAUUUAUUUAACUUUUCCCAGAGACAUCUUCCCCUCUCCACACAAUUUUCUGUUCAUCCUUUGAGUCAGUCAGUCAGUCAAGAAAUAGUUUCAUUAUUCAAGUCCUCUUUCUACUCUCGUUUCACUGUACUACUCUGGGUCAUAGCUGUCCUUCUAAUUAUCUUCAGGAAUAGAUGUGACUGAUGUAUAUAGUGCAUUUGGAUGUUUUCUGUUCGCUAAAUAAUUAAGCCUUUUUCACUUGCUUACGGAACCGUACUAUAGCUUGCAUAUAUAUAUAUGGGAUGCUGCAUAUAAAUUCUCCCUUAACAUUGCAUGCGUGCUGGAGAAAUGUCCUCUGCAAAAAGAAAUGUAUUUUAACAAGCUAGCAGAGUUUUAAAUCACAGGUGGUCCCCAGAUAUCAGAAGGAAAGAAAAAAGGCCCGGUUCAAAGCAUCAAGGUUUUUGUUUCUUUCCAUUUGCUUUUUUGCCUUAAAAAAAAUCAACGACAAAUCCUUUCCGGGCAGAGCUUUGAAACAAAACAAAAAAAGCUUUUUUUGAGACUUUCAACCUUGUGAGCCAGGCAGAAACAACUAAUCAUAUGAUUUGAAGUGCCCUCCACAGAUGUAACCAGAGGCGAGGACCCACUUCUUGUACAAACCUUCUGCCCAGCAUUGAAAAUAAGAUUUAUAAAUAAGAUUUAUUUUGCCUCCUAGCAGAUCUGAUUCCCCAAGGACCAUAAUAUAUCACAGUGGUACCUCAGGUUACAUACACUUCAGGUAUGCUUCAGGUUACAGACUCCGCUAACCGAGAAAUAGUGCUUCAGGUUAAGAACUUUGGUUCAGGAUGAGAACAGAAAUCAUGCUCUGGCGCACGGCAGCAGCAGGAGGCCCCAUUAGCUAAAGUGGUGCUUCAGGUUAAGUACAGUUUCAGGUUAAGAACGGACCUCUAGAACGAAUUAAGUACUUAACCCGAGGUACCACUGUACUAAAUUAACUUGGGCAAUACACAAAACCCUGAAGAAUGAUGAUAUGCAGAUAAGACAUGUUCUAGUUAGUACCUCUGCAGCCUGAAUGUCUCAUUAGGGUAUUCCUCGAGCAGCAAAGAUCCCAUGGGGGCCCAUCGUAAUGUGUUCUAUCCUGAGACUUGAGGGAGGGGGAAGUAUGCAUGGCAAAGAGAGGAGAAAUCUUUGUGUGGCUGUUCACAUGUGGAAUGUCUGUGUACAUGCGAGAAGCAGGUACAGGUGCAUCUGCUCUGUAGGGCCCAAUUCAAAGUGCUGGUUUUGACCUAUAAAGCCUUAAACAGCUGAGGACUGCAAUAACUGAAGGACCGCCUCUUUCCAUAUGAACCUACCCAGACCCUGAGAUCAUCUUCUCAGGCCCUCCUUCGUAUGCCUCCUCCUCGAGAGGUCCGGAGGGUGACAACACGAGAACGGGCCUUCUCUGUAGUGGCUCCCUGUUUGUGGAAUGCUCUCCCCAGGGAAGUUCGCCAGGCGCCUUCAUUAUACACCUUUAGGCGCCAGGCAAAAACGUUCCUUUUUAAGCAGGCCUUUGGUUGAUCUGACUAGAUUGAAGAUUAAAGUAUAAUUAUAACGGAAAACUAGGUAUAUAUAAUAAUUUUGUCAUUGUUUAUUAUUAUUAUUUAUUGGUGUUAUUAUUCUUUUUUUAAAUUAAUUAAAUUUUCUGUUUUACCAUUUAGAAUAUUCAUUUAGACAACCUUAAAAUAUCAAUGACUUCCCUUCUUCUCUUUCCAUGGUUCAUUUUGCGUAACAUAAAUCCCUGCAUAUUUUAUAUAAACUAAAUCAUUCAGUAUUCCAUUAUUACUUCCAUCAGAACAAAUUUACACUGUUGAAUUUAUCUUAAUGCUGCCGAUGUUCUCAAGCGUACACAAUCCCCCCCCCCAUAUAUUCAAUAAACAUUUUCCAAUCUCCUUUAAACGAAUGCUCUUCUUGUUCUCUUAUUCUGUAAGUUAGAUCCGCAAGCUGUCUGUAUUCCAUCAGUUCAAGUUGCCAUUCUUCUUUGCUUGGGACCUUGCUUGUUUUCCAUUUGGGGGCUUACAAAACACAGACUUCUUCCUGCUAUUAUUGGUGUUAUUCUUAAUGUUCUUUCUCUCUGCUUCCUCUUCCUCUUCUUAUUCCUCUUGAUCUUUUCUCUUUCCUUUUCGUAUUUUUGACUUCAUUUGUUCUAAAUAUUACCUUGCUGUAUUGUGAAAACUUUAAUAAAACUGUUGAGGGGGAGGGGAAUCCACGAGACACUGUUUGCUUUUUCUGCUCUGCUUCUGGCAGGAUCGGACACUCACCCAAUCCUCUGUUCUGAACAGAGGAGAUAUGUCAAGAUACGAGAAUGAACAUGGCAGGGGCUGAUCUAGGUGCAUUCCACCCCCCCAAUGAUAGGACAGCUUCAGGGUGGUGGGCCACACCAUCUUGUGGUCUUGUCUCUUUUUCUGCUCUUUUAGAUAUGGCAGCCAUUACGCCACCCACCCAGCCGCCAUGUUGUGUUACGCCACCAGGUUUCCCUUCUGCCUUCUGAAGCGAUAACAUCCUAGGACGUCUUCACCAGGUUCCUUUUGUACAUCAUCUGCUCUUUGGUGUACACGAUAUUACAGAGGACAUGGGCAGCAUAUCUCCACACACUCCGACGCUUUGAGCUUGCAAGCAAGUGAUAAGCUGUUAGCACAGAAGCAUCUCCAAGUGAGCUGUAGGUGUCAGACGGAUGCCAAGGUCAAUUGGGGCUAAUACGUGAGGCAGAAGAAACCGAAGGUGGUGGCGUGGCAGUCUGACAUGCAGUCUCGGUUAAUGGCAUCAAAUGGCCUAGAAAAGAGGAGAGGUGGAACUGUUAAGUGAGGCAUAACAACUAAACCUGCCGUUUAAUAAGCCGCAGCGGAGAUCAAAAAGAGCUCCUUCCCUCUUCUCAACCGGGUCACACUUAAUCCCAAAAGGCUUGUGGUUUGCUGAAACAUGCAUUUCAAAGCUGAUUACAUUUUGGGGGUGCUCCCCAAUGGAGGGGAUUUCAGGUGAGGCGCACCUGGAGUCAACAUGCUUCAAAUUCUGAGGUAGAGUCUCUGUUCAGUGUAUGGUAUCUGACACUAGAUGUUCAUAUUUGAUAUGACUUUUAGAAGACAUCUGAAGGCAGCCCUGUUUAGGGAAGCUUUUAAUGUUUGAUGUAUUACAGUAUUUUAAUAUUAUUAUUUUUUUAAGCCACCCAGAGUGGCUGGGGAAGCCCAGCCAGAUGGGCGGGGUGUAUAAAUAAAUUAUUAUUAUUAUUAUUAUUAUUAUUAUUAUUAUUAUUAUUAUCCAGAUCAGAAAUGGGUACUAUUUCACAGCUAUGGCAAGCAGAUGUUGGAGAAUCCAAAAGCAUUACACUGCUGAGAGAAUACCUUCCCAUUCCUGAGUCCCGGCUGGGCAAAGGGGAGGUUCAGUGGUGCAAACUUCUGUGGUGUGCAAUAUGGAAAUUUUAUGUCUAAUUUUUUUUUGUCUAAAAUAGUAUGUAUUAUUUCACUUCCUUCAAUAUGUGGUAAGGCAGUCCUGCUGCAUUUGGGGACCCUUCUGCUUAUUCCGUGAGCAAGAUCCUGGACCUCUGCCCCCCAAAACAUGACCUGGUUUCAUCACUGGGGAGGAUGUGACGGAAGAUCAAAAAUUAUUUUUUUUCAUAUGUGGUAAAAGAGUAUUGGGAAAUGAUCCAUAAUGAAUUUUUUUUAAAAAUGUUUAAAAGCACCUCCCCCCCCCCAAAAAAAAAACCCAGAGUCCUUUUCGUUGGGGAUAAUUCAGACGGAAAUUCGCAGGUGUCAAAAAUGGUUAUUUAUGUAUCCCGCUAUUGCGGCCUGUGUUUUGUUAGCUCAGAAAUGGAAAACGAGUGAGAUCCCAACUAAAGAAGAAUGGCAACUAGAGCUGACAGAAUAUGCGCCUCUUACAGACUUAAUAUAUAGAAUAAGAGAACAAGAUGAACAUACAUUUAAAGAAGACUGGAAAACGUUUAUUGAAUAUAUGGAGGGAAAUUAUGUACACUUGAAAAUGCUGGCAGGAUUAAAAUAAAUUCAACAGUGUAAAUUAGUUUUGAUGGAUGUAAUAAUGGAAUACUGAAUGGUUUACUUUAUGCAAAAUAUGCAGGGGUUUAUGAUAUGAGGGACGCGGGUGGCACUUUGGGUUAAACCACUGUGCUGCUUGGACUAGCCGAUUGAAAGGCCGGCAGUUCGAAUCCUCACAACGGGGUGAGCUCCCACUGCUCGGUCCCUGCUCCUGCCAACCUAGCAGUUCGAAAGCAUGCAGUGCAAGUAGAUAAAUAGGUACCACUCUGGCGAAAGGUAAACGGUGUUUCCGUGUGCUGCUCUGGUUUCGCCAGAAGCAGCUUAGUCAUGUUGGCCACAUGACCCGGAAAAAAUGUCUGCGGAAGCAAACAAACGCCAGCUCCCUCGGCGUGUAAAGCGAGAUGAGCGCCACAACCCCAGAGUCAUUUGCGACUGGACUUAAUUGUCAGGGAUCCCUUUACCUUUUACUUUAUGAUAUGCAAUGAACCAUGGAAAGAGAAGAAGGGAAGUCCCCCCCCCUCUCUUUCAAGGUAAAGGUACCCCUGACAGUUAAGUCCAGUUGCGAACGACUCUGGGGUUGCGACGUCCAUCUCACUUUACAGGCCAAGGGAGCUAGCGUUUGACCGCUCUGCAGACAGUUUUUCCGGGUCAUGUGGCUAGCAUGACUAAGUCGCUUUCUGGCGAACCAGAGCAGCGCAUGGAAACGCUGUUUACCUUCCCACUGGAGCGGUACCUAUUUAUCUAGUUGCACUUUUUGGCGUGCUUUCGAACUGCUAGGUUGGCAGGAGCUGGGACCGAGCAACGGGAGCUCACCCUGUCACGGGGAUUCGAACCGCCGACCUUUUGAUCGGCAAGCCCAAGGCUCAGUGGUUUAGACCACAGUGCCACCCACGUCCCUAUCUAUAUAUAUAUAUCUACAUAUAUUUGAGUUCUUGGUGUUGCGGGGAGGCUGCCUGCCCAUUGUUCUUGAAGUGGAGUGUGUGAGAGACUGAUAUCUUUCUGAGUGUGAGAAUGAAGUAGCUAUGUCUUCUAACUGAAUCCAAGUUGUGUGGGAGAAACAUAUCAAGUGUCUCAUAUAUUCAGAGUUUAUAAUCACUGGGACACAAGAAGGUUCUCCCCCCCCCCUUAAGCAGAAUGCAAACUCUGACACUUGACAGAGGUCUAUUGGGUGACUUCUGCAUGUCUAGCCUUCUUUCAGAUGUUGAUAUUUUCAUACAGGAUUAAUGCAGAAAUGAAUUUGCUAGAGGACAGCAUUUGACUUCGGUGAGCUAAUCUGACUGAAAAUUGUUGAGUACUUUCUUUUUGUGCUCCCCGGUUUCCCUUGCCCUCCUCCUCAUUGUUUUUAUGCGUCUUCCCACUCUGCUUGACAGGUAGCGUCGUUAACAAUUAGCAUUUAUAUAGAGCUUCAUCUCCGAAGCAUAUCGUAAACAUUAGCCAAUUUAAUCCAAGGAGCUAUUUGUGUUGUUGCACAGGGAGAAGAAUGAGGCUCGCCACAUGUCUGACAGUUGUAUAAUUGGAAUCAAUAGCACAGAAGCCCACUCAUCUCUGAGUGGGGAGGGGGGUUGCCUUGGUUUUAGAGUUAUAGCCCAGCUCUCUUUAAGGGUGUGUCAAAACUGUGGGGUUUUUCUACUACUACGUUCUACAACUUAGAACAACCCCAGAAGUUUGGGGAAUGGCAGCCAGGGUUUGGGGGGCGGGGCAGCAGAGCGAUCUUCAUGCAAUCUGUAAUUAUUCAGAUUAUGCUCAGCGCGUCAGUCUCCCAUCAUCUCUUGGCCUGGGAUUUGCACAUCGGCGAGGGGGGGGAAAAGGAGGAUCAACAUAUUCCCUAGGAAUUGCUAGUGUUGUUUGCUCUGAAAACAGAAGCAAGCAGCAACAGGAGCCCAGUUGUCGGGGAGGGAGUUGUGGUGGUGGGGAGAAAUGUCUGCAGGGCUCACUAUCUUGAAUUAUCAAGCCUGCACUUGAUUUGAGUUUUCUGCCAUAUAUUUGGGGAGGGCCAUAGCUCAUCUGUUUUACAUGCAGAUGGUCUCAGGUUCAAUCCUUCUUGGGAACGUGUUUUGAGUGGGUGGUCCCAGAUGGGAUCUAGGCCAGGGGUAGGCAACCUAAGGCCCGGGGGCCGGAUGCAACCCAAUCGCCUUCUCAAUCCGGCCCAGGAAUCAGCGUGUUUUUACAUGACAGGGGGUUUGGACUGGGUGUCCAUCAAUAUGCGGAUGAUAACCAGCUCUACCUCUCUUUCAUAUCGGAACCAGUGAAGGCGGUGAAGGUCCUGUGUGAGUGCCUGGAGGCGGUUGGAGGAUGGAUGGCGUCUAAUGGAUUGAGGUUGAAUCCUGACAAGACAGAAGUACUGUUCUUGGGGGACAGGGGGCGGGCUGGUAUGGAGGACUCCCUGGUCCUGAAUGGGGUAACUGUGCCCCUGAAGGACCAGGUGCGCAGCCUGGGAGUCAUUUUGGACUCACAGCUGUCCAUGGAGGCGCAGGUCAAUUCUGUGUUCAGGGCAGCUAUUUAUCAGCUCCAUCUGGUACGCAGGAUGAGACUCUACUUGCCGGCAGACUGUCUCACCAGAGUGGUGCAUGCUCUAGUUAUCUCCCACUUGGACUACUGCAAUGCGCUCUACGUGGGACUACCUUUGAAGCUGAACUACAACUAAUCCAGAAUGCGGCAGCUAGACUGGUGACUGGGAGCGGCCGCCGAGACCACAUAACACCGGUCUUGAAAGACCUACAUUGACUCCCAGUACAUUUCCAAGCACAAUUCAAAGUGUUGGUGUUGAUCUUUAAAGCCCUAAACGGCCUCGGCCCAGUAUACCUGAAGGAGCAUCUCCAUCGCCAUCGUUCUGCCCAGACGCUGAGGGCCUUCUGGCGGUUCCCUCAUUGCGAGAAGCAAAGCUACAGGGAACCAGGCAGAGGGACUUCUCGGUAGUGGCACCCGCCCUGUGGAACGCCCUCCCAUCAGAUGUCAAAGAGAUAAACAACUACCUGACAUUUAGAAGACAUCUGAAGGCAGCCCUGUUCAGGGAAGUUUUUAAUGUGUGACAUUUUAAUGUAUUUUUAAUCUUUGUUGGAAGCUGCCCAGAGUGGCUGGGGAAACCCAGCCAGAUGGGCGGGGUACAAAUAAUAAAUUAUUAGUAUUAUGAGUAGAAUGUGUCCUUUUAUUUAAAAUGCAUCUCUGGGUUAUUUGUGGGGCAUAGGAAUUCAUUCAUAUAUUUUUUUCCAAAAUAUCUUCCAGCCCACCACAUGGUCUGAGGGACGGUGGACCGGCCCACAGAUGAAAAAGGUUGCCGACCCUUCAGGCAGGAUGAUCUCCAGCGGGCAAGGUACAGAGGUGAAAGCUGUUUCUGGAUUCCGCUGGAUAUCUCUGGAGCUCUUGAUACCUUUAUCCAUGGUCUCCUUCUGGACUGCCUAGGGCGGCUGGGUCCCUCAGGGCUCCUUCCUCUCCUCCAUGCUUUUUCACAUCUGCACGAAGGCCCUUGGAUGACCUGAAUGGCCUGCUUUGCAUUGAGGCUGUCAUGGGCUGGCUUGUUUUUAAUUGUGGCACAGUUUUAGUCUAUAGAUCAUGCUGUGAUCUAUGAGGCUGGGAGCGCCGGCAGCAAGUAGGGAUGGCAGCCGUUUGGUGGCAGGAGACCUGGAAGCACAUGCAGUAGCUCCAUGUGUUAGAUGGAGCAUAUUCUCAGCCCCAAGGGAUCCAUAGGCUGUGCCAUCAGGUGUGCUCAGGUGCAACCUUUGGCUCUUACUGCCAAAUAUAUAAAUAUAUCUAUUUAAAACUGGCUUCCUGAGGUGCGUGGGGUAGGAUACAUAUGCAAUGGCAGAGCCUGUGAGUGCCUUGCAGCAGACUCCACAUAAAACAUCCUGCUCCUCUGUCAGAUGGCCUGUUUACUGAGCAUUAUUCUUGAUUUGUUUCUGGAAAGAUUACACAACCUUGGCUAUUUAUCGAGUAUCCAUUCCAUUAUUAUUAUUUAUUUAUAAUAAUUUUUAUUAGUUUUCAGUUACAGUCCAAUGAUAGCCUCAUUGUAACAAUGACAAAUUAUAAUACAGUUACUAAUACCAAUCAUUCUGAUACCAAAUUAUGUAAUUUAGGUGCUCCCCCACUCGUGCAAGAAUUGAUGGUUUGAUGAUUUUCUUUAUUUCUGCGUUCCAAAAUCUUACUAAUUUCAAUUACACUCCAGUCAAGAUAACAAUCCCUCAUACAACAACUGCAAUAUUAACAACUUUUAUUCGUUUUGACACAUUAAAUCAGGGGUCAGCAAACUUUUUCAACAGGGGGCCGGUCCACUGUCCCUCAGACCUUGUGGGGGGCCGGACUAUAUUUUGAAAAAAAUAUAUGAACGAAUUCCUAUGCCCCACCCAGGGAUGCAUUUUAAAUAAAAGGACACAUUCUACUCAUAUAAAAACACGCUGAUUCCUGGACCAUCCGCGGACCAGAUUUAAAAGGUGAUUGGGCCGGAUCUGGCCCCCGGGCCUUAGUUUGCCUACCCACGCAUUAAAUGAUUUAUGAAGCUACAAGUGAGGCAUUCAGUCUAUAUCCUUAUUCUUCCUGUGUGUGGCAAUUAUUCUGUCCGUGGUGUUUCUUCCUGUCCUUGUAAAAUGUUAUGUCUAUCUUUUCCCAUUUGUUGCUGUUCUCCAUCAUGCCUCGGGCAGAGAAAUAUCCCAUUGCUGUUUCAGAAAUUCUCCAUUGCUCUGCCCCAGACUUCAUUGUUUUGCAACUCUAACAGCAGCUGCAAAAAUCACACUGUCCAGCAUCCAUUCCAAUUCAUUUGUGAGGGGAUUAAACAAUAAUGCAUCAAGCAAAGAGGAAAAGGGACACGGAGGGAUGAGGAAAAUAAAAACCUGGGUGCCAAUUUCUAAACAGUUGUUCCUGUAGCGACUGGCUGGCCCAGUUCAGGGGCAGGAGGUGCCCGAUAGCACUGGACCUCUGGGAAAGCUGAUGAAAGGAGCUCUGCUUCCUUUCCAGCCCACUGCGGCAGCCUGAUAAUGGUUACCUGCCCCCAGGUAACAGUAGAGGAAAGAGGAUACCUCAUGGAGUGAGCCCUGCUUUCCAUCUCUCCCACUGAGCCAGCCUGGGGAAAUGGCUAGUAGUGACAGCACUCUCAGUUAGCAAUGCUAAUAAUAAUAAUAAUAAUAAUAAUAAUAAUAAUAAUAAUUUAUUUGUAUUUUACUUUAACACUGUACAAUGGACGCUCGGGUUGUGAACGCGAUCCAUGCAGGACACACGUUCGCAAGCCGCAGUGUUCGCAAGCCACAGCGGUGCGUCUGCGCACAAGUGGGUUGCAGUUCAGUGCUUCUGCACAUGCGCAAAGCGCGAUUUAGCACUUCUGCGCAUGCACGACCGCUGAAACCCAGAAGUAACCCAUUCCGGUACUUCCGGGUCUUGGCGCGUCUGUAACCUGAAAAAACGCAACCUGAAGCAUCUGUAACCUGAGGUAUGACUGUAUUUUAUGCCUCAUGACUGCUUGCACACGCACACACUCCCUCUCCAGAUGUUGUUAAAAAGCCUUUCAGAGAUGUGUGGUUCCCUCACCUCCAGCGAAAUGCCUAAGAGCAUUAGCAAAGGUGGGUUUAUGUGAGCAUAAACACUUGCCAGUUUUUGAAUUCAAGCUGGCGUUACUCAUGUGUGGAGAUUGUUGGAGCGGAAAAGGAGUCUUACUGGAGGAUUUUCUUCUCUUUGCCUCUGUUGCCUUUGGCACGCUGCAUUAGAGUCACGGUUUUGUAUUAACUCCUUUUCCCCACCCCAGAACUUCAAAGAUCCCUUAAAAAACAUCUCUAUCUAUCUAUCUAUCUAUCUAUCUAUCUAUCUAUCUAUCUAUCUAUCGUGUUAAAUAUAAGGAUAUGAUAAAACAGCAAAAGAAGCGGGUGUGACGAGUGUCCAAAAUGAUAUAAAAAUAAGAAUGAGAAAGGUAACACUUUAAAAAGAGGAUGGGAUAAAGAAAACUGGGUAACUAGAAGCAGGGCUGAAAUUAGGUUUGAAGCAGCCCUAAGCUACUGAAGGUAAUGGGGCCCUUUAUUUGUCCAGCUGUCCUUUGUCAACAACAAAUUGUCACUGUUUUGUGUUGAAUAUAUGCUAUAUGGUAAUUUAUGGACCUAAUAGGUAUGUGAAGCCAGUUGCACAUAACAAAUAUAAGCCUACACAACACAAAACAUUGUUGCUGUAUGUAGGUUUUAUUUUAUUUGUUUUUUAUCUUACAUUUUGGAAAUGUACAUCCAUGUUUUUUCCUUUUAAUUUUUUUUGGGGGGGCCCAAGAGAGUGGGGCCUUAAGCUAUAGCUUGUUUAGCUUAUACAUAAAUCUGGCACUGACUAGAAGGCAGUAGUAGCCCAGGAAAGUAAAACUGGAAUGAACAAUGAAUAACAGUGGUGUUAUUACAGCUUGGGGGCAGUACUGCAGUUGCACAGGCAGGCUGCAAUCUAUUUCCCGGGCCUGAGAGAAGCAGGGUUCACCCAAGCCCGGGAAAACCCCAUGUCUCCAGCACAGCUGCUGAAUCUUGGGGCUGGUGUUGUCGCCAUCCCGCAAUGGUGCCCGACUUAAAAGGUAAGCGUCAUUGGAAGACAAGCUGUUGUCUGUGUGGCACACACACAGUUAAAGGUUGCCUGGGAUGUGGCAAAGCCCAACACAGAAAUAAAAUUGUGCGUUUGUGAUGAAAUUAGUGUCCUCAUAAAAUAUUGAAAUGGCUCGCUGAAAACCAGCCUUUUUCAGUGGGAGCUCUCUUGAAUAUUUCAUCCCAAAGCCUCCCACUGUUUUGCAAGGGUGGUGUUUCCAAAGUAUUUAAGGCAGCGACUGAAAUGACCUGCUAAGUAUAAUGCCAAUGUACUUCGGAGACUGCCUACAACUCAAUUCCUGUAGGUCUUCCCCCCAUGAAGCAGUUGCUGGAACUGAAGGUCCCUGCCUUCCCACAGCUGCCUAAGUCUCCUCCUCUCCUGGGUUUCUUCCAAGCAAUCUGAGACUGUGUCUGCACGAAGCUAACCUCUCCCCCAUCCUUUUCAUGCCUCUUCUGGUUCUGGGAGACAAAGGGAGAGGGGAGCUUGUCUCAGCAGGAAGAGGAGACACCUGUGAAUCUUCACCAGCCUGACUCAUCUCUGCCUCUUGGUCUCUCUCCUCCCACCCUCCUUGCUUCAGCUUCUGCCUCUGAUUCUGGGUUUCUCUCUGCCACAGAUUCUCCCAGCUCACAAAGCCCUGUUAUCUCCUCAGCUUCUGACACAUCCUCUUCCCAGUGUUCUCCCUCUUACCUCUUAUUGUCGUCCCACCACCAGUCCCCUGACUCUGAGCCUUCUUCCCUUGGGGGGUCCCCAGCUGCUUCCUCCUACCAUUCAUCUGCAUCCAACCAGUCCAUGACAUUCAAGUUGGCUUCACAUUUGAGGAUUCUGUUUCACAUAAGAAGCUGCCUGCCAUAAACCAUUGGUCCAUCUUGCUCGGCGCUGUCUGUACUGACAAUCAAUGGCUCCUCCUGAUUUCAGAUGCCUGAGAUUGAACCACGGAUGUUCUACCUGCAAAAUAGAUGCUCUACUGCUGAACCACAGUCUUUCCACGCUGAAGAUUAAGGAAUGGAAGGUUGCCAUUUUGAAGGCUGAGAAUAAAAUUUCAC